CCUACGGGGUGCUGCAGUAGGGAAUAUUGCUCAAUGGGGGAAACCCUGAAGCAGCAACGCCGCGUGGAGGAUGAAGGUUUUAGGAUUGUAAACUCCUUUUGUUAGAGAAGAUUAUGACGGUAUCUAACGAAUAAGCACCGGCUAACUCCGUGCCAGCAGCCGCGGUAAUACGGAGGGUGCAAGCGUUACUCGGAAUCACUGGGCGUAAAGAGUGCGUAGGCGGGGUAAUAAGUCAGAUGUGAAAUCCUGUAGCUUAACUACAGAACUGCAUUUGAAACUGUUACUCUGGAGUGUGGGAGAGGUAGGUGGAAUUCUUGGUGUAGGGGUAAAAUGCGUAGAGAUCAAGAGGAAUACUCAUUGCGAAGGCGACCUGCUGGAACAUUACUGACGCUGAUGCACGAAAGCGUGGGGAGCAAACAGGAUUAGAUACCCCAGUAGUC
RNAcentral lists this ribosomal RNA (440 nucleotides) under uncultured bacterium. RNAcentral describes it as "partial 16S ribosomal RNA". It matches the Rfam family "Bacterial small subunit ribosomal RNA", at positions 338 to 795 of the family's 1533-position model. The record is from RNAcentral.